CCUACGGGAGGCAGCAGUGGGGAAUAUUGCACAAUGGGGGAAACCCUGAUGCAGCGACGCCGCGUGAGUGAAGAAGUAUUUCGGUAUGUAAAGCUCUUUCCGCAGGGAAGAAGCAAGACGGUACCUGACUAAGAUGCCCCGGCUAACUACGUGCCAGAAGCCGCGGUAAUACGGGUGAUGCGAGCGUUAUCCGGAUGUAUUGGGUUUAAAGGGUUCGUGGGCGGGCAUUUAAGCAGGCGGUCAAAUGUCGGGGCUCAACCCCGGCCUGACGUCGGAACUGUGUGCCUUGAGUGGUCGAGAGGUAUGCGGAAUGCGUGGUGUAGCGGUGAAAUGCAUAGAUAUCACGCAGAACCCCGAUUGCGAAGGCAGCAUGCCGGCGCCCUACUGACGCUGAGGCGCGAAAGUGCGGGUAUCGAACAGGAUUAGAUACCCUGGUAGUC
RNAcentral lists this ribosomal RNA (440 nucleotides) under uncultured bacterium. Its description in RNAcentral is "partial 16S ribosomal RNA". It matches the Rfam family "Bacterial small subunit ribosomal RNA", at positions 338 to 795 of the family's 1533-position model. The record is from RNAcentral.